Molecule: transfer RNA, 73 nt
Filed under: Candidatus Caccomonas pullistercoris
Lineage: Bacteria; Pseudomonadati; Bacteroidota; Bacteroidia; Bacteroidales; Prevotellaceae
Description: tRNA-Gly
Rfam family: tRNA
About the family: Transfer RNA (tRNA) molecules are approximately 80 nucleotides in length. Their secondary structure includes four short double-helical elements and three loops (D, anti-codon, and T loops).
Source: RNAcentral
GCGGAAAUAGCUCAGUUGGUAGAGCACAACCUUGCCAAUGUUGGGGUCGCGAGUUCGAGUCUCGUUUUCCGCU